UAAAAAAGUUACUAGGAGGCUGUUAAUUGAUCCCAGUGGGAACAGGCAACCAAUGAGAAAACGAAAGUUAAGUCGAUCCCACCAAUAGCGGUUCAAAGGUAUGUUAUCAGUUUUCCGUUAAAAGAAGAAGGGAAAAACGUGAUGGCAGGUUAAUUAGAAAACACGAGUUUCAAGAUUCAAAGAAAAAUUCAAGCUCUCUAUGGUAUACAGUGAAGUUAGAAAUAUUGUACGAAGUGAAACAAUAAUUUUCUUCUUUUGCCUUCUACGGAUUGGACAAGUUGAAACUAUUGUUUAGCCUUUUGUUCUGUUCAUUCAACGAACAAUCGAUAGAAAAAGUAAAUGAGAUCGAUUUCAUGAAUAAUAUUUUUCUGGAUUCCCUUUCUCAUUAACGGCAAAUUUGAUUCGAAUAUAUAAACCAUCAUUAAAUAGAAUCUUUCAUAAAUAAAGAUGAAAUUUGAAGAAAAUUUGUUUAACAGAGCAAUUAGAUUGAUUUUAUCGAUGACUUCAAGAGGUUAUGUAUCAUGUUUUACAUCUUCAGCUAGAUACCAUACUAGAUAAAAUCAUUUUGUGAUAACAAAUGACAGCAAAUUUGUUGGCAAGCUCCUCCGAAAUCCCUAGCUUGUCCACAGACUUAAUUGCAGAAUAUUACCUCUCCUAAACUACUUCAUCUCAACACACAUACCACAACUUAACACACACUUAAUAUAUUAAGAGCUUGGUAUAUUUAUGGAGAAUUGAUAAAACAAGAUAGAAAUAAAUAAAUAUUCUAGGAAAAGUCAAUUUACAAUUUUCAUGAUUUAUCCCGAAAAUGAGUCGAAUUUUGAUGUCAACAGUUGGUAGAAGUGUCUCCGGCCUGAGAGAGUUUCGAUGGCACUACUACGAAAUUUCACUGGAUGGCUAACGCUGGUCUAGCUAGUCACUUUGCCAACUUGCUUUGAGCGGUUGUUCGUUGGAAUAUUAUUCGGUGUAGUGGUCACUUCCUAUUUCGAAGUCCGAAUUUAUGUGAAAUUAACCGAAAUUGGAAAAUUUCAUUAAUGGAAAAUGGUAAUUUUAUUAGAGGUUAAUAAUAUAAUAUAUGUAAUAAUUAAAACCAUUUGCGUUUGAGGUCGUUUGAUUAAAAUUUAAUAGACACAAAAAAAAAAUGGCUGAAUUAUCUAGCCCACUAAGAGACUAUCUAAGACAAAUUCUAUUAAAAAAAAAAUUCUAUUAAAAAGAAAAUUAAUUUCAUUAUAAUAUUUUUAAAUUUUAAAUGCCAAUAUAUUGAAUAAAUGAACUUUAAUUAAUAAAUAACAAUAAUGAAUGUUAAAGAUAAAUAAACGGAAGGAAAUUAAUACAAAGAACAAGUUUCAACGAAGAUAAAAUCGCUAAUUUUUAAUAAUUGGAAUUAUAAUAAUAACGACUAUUGAUUAUCCAUAUUUCAUAUUUUAUCGAUAUAUCGAUAGCAUCGUUAAAAUAUCGUUAAGGGAUAAAAGUAAAGUAACUAAAAAAAGUAACUAGAAUUUUUAUUUUUAUUUUCUUAGAAAUCAUUAAAACACGUAAUAAAUAACAUUAGAUAUGUUAUACUUAGAAUUGCUCGAUUCUUUCUGAAUUAUAUCCUUCUAUCACAAAGCGUGAAAUAAAAGAAUUGUAGAUGGGCCGUGAAAAAAA
This 1647-nucleotide long non-coding RNA is filed under the name Apis mellifera (honey bee). RNAcentral describes it as "uncharacterized LOC102656264, transcript variant X1". Lineage: Eukaryota; Metazoa; Arthropoda; Insecta; Hymenoptera; Apidae. The record is from RNAcentral.